Long non-coding RNA from Triticum aestivum (bread wheat), 584 nucleotides. RefSeq lists it as uncharacterized. The record is from RefSeq and is a predicted model, not a curated record. The transcript has 4 exons. Lineage: Eukaryota; Viridiplantae; Streptophyta; Magnoliopsida; Poales; Poaceae.
UGCCGCGGCCAAAGCUUUCACAGUUUGUCACCAUCGAAGAUCUGCUCACUGCUGCCGGCUCGGAGCCUCAUGAUUGUUCCCUCUAUCUCUCUCGGAACCCUGCGAUCCCCGCCGUCGCUGGUCAUGAUGGCCCAAGAACUACUCCAAGGUGUCGACAAGGCGAGUUGUACAUGCCGCCGCCGAUCUCCUCCUCUAACAUCACUUGCGCCAGAGUAGGGAGCUCUUUUCCAUCCCCAGCGACCUUCCCCGCGGCAACAAUUCCGGGUUCUUCUGUUGCCGCAACAAUCAUCUACGUACAUAAAUGAAAAAAAUAUUGGAAGUUACUCUUAUGAACAUACUUGCAUUCUUUCUCAAAUUUAAAAUAACUAUGUGGUGACUAUCAGUAUUUGAUUGUUAUGCUGCUAAUAACAAUUCUAACCUCAAAGGUUUUAACUCGCUGAGAGGAUAAGGAACGAUGACAUUUUGUAUAGCUGGUUAUCUUUCAUCCAAUAGGCGGAUCAAGGUGGAGAAUGCAAGAUGAUUACUUUCGGGGACAUUAACACCACGAGGCUGGCAAAUUAGUAUGAAAUAUAUCUGUUUCUUGC